RNAcentral lists this ribosomal RNA (459 nucleotides) under uncultured bacterium. RNAcentral's name for it is "partial 16S ribosomal RNA". It matches the Rfam family "Bacterial small subunit ribosomal RNA", at positions 338 to 795 of the family's 1533-position model. The record is from RNAcentral.
CCUACGGGAGGCAGCAGUGAGGAAUAUUGGUCAAUGGGAGCGAUCCUGAACCAGCCAAGCCGCGUGAGGGAAGACGGCCCUAUGGGUUGUAAACCUCUUUUGUCGGAGAACAAAACCCGGGACGUGUCCCGGACUGCGUGUAUCCGAAGAAAAAGCAACGGCUAACUCCGUGCCAGCAGCCGCGGUAAUACGGGGGAUGCGAGCGUUAUCCGGAUUUAUUGGGUUUAAAGGGUGCGUAGGCGGUCCGUUAAGUCAGCGGGAAAAUUGCGGGGCUCAACCCCGUCGAGCCGUUGAAACUGGCAGACUUGAGUGGGCGAGAAGUACGCGGAAUGCGCGGUGUAGCGGUGAAAUGCAUAGAUAUCGCGCAGAACUCCGAUUGCGAAGGCAGCGUACCGGCGCCAGACUGACGCUGAGGCACGAAAGCGUGGGGAUCGAACAGGAUUAGAUACCCCAGUAGUC